RNAcentral lists this ribosomal RNA (358 nucleotides) under Bacillus velezensis. RNAcentral's name for it is "bacterial SSU rRNA". It matches the Rfam family "Bacterial small subunit ribosomal RNA", at positions 162 to 505 of the family's 1533-position model. Lineage: Bacteria; Bacillati; Bacillota; Bacilli; Caryophanales; Bacillaceae. The record is from RNAcentral.
GCUAAUACCGGAUGGUUGUUUGAACCGCAUGGUUCAGACAUAAAAGGUGGCUUCGGCUACCACUUACAGAUGGACCCGCGGCGCAUUAGCUAGUUGGUGAGGUAACGGCUCACCAAGGCGACGAUGCGUAGCCGACCUGAGAGGGUGAUCGGCCACACUGGGACUGAGACACGGCCCAGACUCCUACGGGAGGCAGCAGUAGGGAAUCUUCCGCAAUGGACGAAAGUCUGACGGAGCAACGCCGCGUGAGUGAUGAAGGUUUUCGGAUCGUAAAGCUCUGUUGUUAGGGAAGAACAAGUGCCGUUCAAAUAGGGCGGCACCUUGACGGUACCUAACCAGAAAGCCACGGCUAACUACG